RNAcentral lists this ribosomal RNA (383 nucleotides) under uncultured bacterium. RNAcentral describes it as "bacterial SSU rRNA". It matches the Rfam family "Bacterial small subunit ribosomal RNA", at positions 29 to 402 of the family's 1533-position model. The record is from RNAcentral.
AACGAACGCUGGCGGCGCGCCUAACACAUGCAAGUCGAACGAGAAGGCGUAGCAAUACGCUUGUAAAGUGGCGAACGGGUGAGGAACACGUGGGUAACCUACCCUCGAGUGGGGAAUAACCAACCGAAAGGUUGGCUAAUGCCGCGUACGCUUCCAUCUCUUUGGAGGUGGAAGGAAAGCUGUACCGUGGGGUACAGCGCUCAAGGAUGGGCUCACGUCCUAUCAGCUUGUUGGUAGGGAACGGCCUACCAAGGCAACGACGGGUAGCUGGUCUGAGAGGACGAUCAGCCACACUGGCACUGCGACACGGGCCAGACUCCUACGGGAGGCAGCAGUGAGGAAUAUUGCGCAAUGGGCGAAAGCCUGACGCAGCGACGCCGCGU